This 495-nucleotide ribosomal RNA is filed under the name uncultured bacterium. RNAcentral's name for it is "partial 16S ribosomal RNA". It matches the Rfam family "Bacterial small subunit ribosomal RNA", at positions 30 to 507 of the family's 1533-position model. The record is from RNAcentral.
UGAACGCUGGCGGCGUGCCUAAUACAUGCAAGUCGAGCGAACGGACGAGAAGCUUGCUUCUCUGAUGUUAGCGGCGGACGGGUGAGUAACACGUGGAUAACCUACCUAUAAGACUGGGAUAACUUCGGGAAACCGGAUCUAAUACCGGAUGAUAUUUUGAACCGCAUGGUUCAAAAGUGAAAGACGGUCUUGCUGUCACUUAUAGAUGGAUCCGCGCUGCAUUAGCUAGUUGGUAAGGUAACGGCUUACCAAGGCAACGAUGCAUAGCCGACCUGAGAGGGUGAUCGGCCACACUGGAACUGAGACACGGUCCAGACUCCUACGGGAGGCAGCAGUAGGGAAUCUUCCGCAAUGGGCGAAAGCCUGACGGAGCAACGCCGCGUGAGUGAUGAAGGUCUUCGGAUCGUAAAACUCUGUUAUUAGGGAAGAACAUAUGUGUAAGUAACUGUGCACAUCUUGACGGUACCUAAUCAGAAAGCCACGGCUAACUACGUG